CUUCCCACGGGAGGCAGCAGUGGGGAAUAUUGCACAAUGGGGGAAACCCUGAUGCAGCAACGCCGCGUGAGUGAAGAAGUAUUUCGAUAUGUAAAGCUCUAUCAGCAGGGAAGAAGAUGACGGUACCUGAGUAAGAAGCCCCGGCUAACUACGUGCCAGCAGCCGCGGUAAUACGUAGGGGGCAAGCGUUAUCCGGAAUUACUGGGUGUAAAGGGGGCGUAGACGGUGAUGCAAGUCUGGAGUGAAAGGCGGGGGCCCAACCCCCGGACUGCUCUGGAAACUGUGUAACUUGAGUGCAGGAGAGG
This 305-nucleotide ribosomal RNA is filed under the name uncultured bacterium. RNAcentral's name for it is "bacterial SSU rRNA". It matches the Rfam family "Bacterial small subunit ribosomal RNA", at positions 335 to 657 of the family's 1533-position model. The record is from RNAcentral.